RNAcentral lists this ribosomal RNA (478 nucleotides) under uncultured bacterium. Its description in RNAcentral is "partial 16S ribosomal RNA". It matches the Rfam family "Bacterial small subunit ribosomal RNA", at positions 28 to 507 of the family's 1533-position model. The record is from RNAcentral.
GAUGAACGCUGGCGGCGUGCUUAACACAUGCAAGUCGAACGGGAAACCUUUUAUUGCAGCUUCGGCAGAUUUAGCUGGUUUCUAGUGGCGGACGGGUGAGUAACGCGUGGGUAACCUGCCUUAUACAGGGGGAUAACAGUCAGAAAUGGCUGCUAAUACCGCAUAAGCGCACAGAGCUGCAUGGCUCAGUGUGAAAAACUCCGGUGGUAUAAGAUGGACCCGCGUUGGAUUAGCUGGCUGGGGGGGUAAAGGCCCACCAAGGCGACGAUCCAUAGCAGGCCAGAGAGGGUGAACGGCCACAUUGGGACUGAGACACGGCCCAGAAUCCUACGAGAGGCAGCAAUGGGGAAUAUUGCCCAAUGGGGGAAAGCCUGAUGCGGCGACGCCGCGUGAAGGAAGAAGUAUCUCGGUAUGUAAACUUCUAUCAGCAGGGAAGAUAAUGACGGUACCUGACUAAGAAGCCCCGGCUAACUACGUG